RNAcentral lists this ribosomal RNA (444 nucleotides) under uncultured bacterium. Its description in RNAcentral is "bacterial SSU rRNA". It matches the Rfam family "Bacterial small subunit ribosomal RNA", at positions 958 to 1399 of the family's 1533-position model. The record is from RNAcentral.
AACGCGAAGAACCUUACCAGGUCUUGACAUCCCCCCUGACCGGAUCAGAGAUGGUCCUUUCCUUCGGGACAGGGGAGACAGGUGGUGCAUGGUUGUCGUCAGCUCGUGUCGUGAGAUGUUGGGUUAAGUCCCGCAACGAGCGCAACCCUUGAGCUUAGUUGCCAGCACGUUAUGGUGGGCACUCUAGGCUGACUGCCGGUGACAAACCGGAGGAAGGCGGGGAUGACGUCAAAUCAUCAUGCCCCUUAUGACCUGGGCUACACACGUACUACAAUGGCCGGUACAACGGGCCGCGAAGCCGCGAGGCGGAGCCAAUCCUAUCAAAGCCGGUCUCAGUUCGGAUUGCAGGCUGCAACUCGCCUGCAUGAAGUCGGAAUUGCUAGUAAUCGCGGAUCAGCAUGCCGCGGUGAAUACGUUCCCGGGCCUUGUACACACCGACGCGUA